CCACUUUACACCUUCUGUCACGGUAGGACAAACGGACGUCCGACAUGGCAUGCCACGUGGACAAAAAUGACACGUGGCACAUGGCAUUUUUGGCACAUGGCAUGCCAUGUGUCCUUUUUGUACACGUGGCAUUUUUGGUACAUGUGGCAUGCCAUGUCGGAUGUCCGUUUGUCCUACCAUGACGGAGGGUGCAAAUUAG
Molecule: microRNA precursor, 199 nt
Filed under: Corchorus capsularis
Lineage: Eukaryota; Viridiplantae; Streptophyta; Magnoliopsida; Malvales; Malvaceae
Description: pre miRNA MIR811
Source: RNAcentral